RNAcentral lists this ribosomal RNA (864 nucleotides) under uncultured bacterium. Its description in RNAcentral is "bacterial SSU rRNA". It matches the Rfam family "Bacterial small subunit ribosomal RNA", at positions 8 to 868 of the family's 1533-position model. The record is from RNAcentral.
AGAGUUUGAUCCUGGCUCAGGAUGAACGCUGGCGGCGUGCCUAAUACAUGCCAAGUCGAACGAAUCUUCUUCGGAGGAUGAGUGGCGAACGGGUGAGUAAUACAUAGGUAACCUGCCCCUGUGCGGGGGAUAACAGGAGGAAACUCCUGCUAAUACCGCAUAGCCAUGAGCACCGCAUGGAGCUCAUGCCAAAUAUCCUUUAUGGGAUAGCGCAGGGAUGGACCUAUGGCGCAUUAGCUUGUUGGCGGGGCAACGGCCCACCAAGGCAACGAUGCGUAGCCGGCCUGAGAGGGCGGACGGCCACAUUGGGACUGAGACACGGCCCAGACUCCUACGGGAGGCAGCAGUAGGGAAUUUUCGGCAAUGGGGGAAACCCUGACCGAGCAACGCCGCGUGAGCGAAGAAGGCCUUCGGGUCGUAAAGCUCUGUGGUAAAGGAAGAACGUCGCAUGCAGGAAAUGGUGUGCGAGUGACGGUACUUUACCAGAAAGCCACGGCUAANUACGUGCCAGCAGCCGCGGUAAUACGUAGGUGGCGAGCGUUAUCCGGAAUCAUUGGGCGUAAAGAGGGAGCAGGCGGCCGCAAGGGUCUGUGGUGAAAGACCGAAGCUAAACUUCGGUGAGCCAUGGAAACCGGGCGGCUAGAGUGCGGAAGAGGAUCGUGGAAUUCCAUGUGUAGCGGUGAAAUGCGUAGAUAUAUGGAGGAACACCAGUGGCGAAGGCGACGGUCUGGGCCGCAACUGACGCUCAUUCCCGAAAGCGUGGGGAGCAAAUAGGAUUAGAUACCCUAGUAGUCCACGCCGUAAACGAUGGUCACUAAGUGUCGGGGGUCAAACCCCGGUGCUGCAGUCAACGCAGUAAGUGAC